Molecule: non-coding RNA, 80 nt
Filed under: unclassified sequences
Description: int-alpA RNA
Rfam family: int-alpA RNA
About the family: Acidobacteria (1 example), Planctomycetes (1 example), Proteobacteria. Environment (Lake Washington)
Source: Rfam by way of RNAcentral
CCAGGGCCUAGCCGUGGCCUCAUGAACCACGGCGAAAAGCCACCUGCCCCUAGCGGCCUGGCCCUGGACGUUUUGAGGGG